This 497-nucleotide ribosomal RNA is filed under the name uncultured bacterium. RNAcentral's name for it is "partial 16S ribosomal RNA". It matches the Rfam family "Bacterial small subunit ribosomal RNA", at positions 28 to 507 of the family's 1533-position model. The record is from RNAcentral.
GAUGAACGCUGGCGGCGUGCCUAAUACAUGCAAGUCGAGCGAACAGAUGAGGAGCUUGCUCCUCUGACGAUAGCGGCGGACGGGAGAGUAACACGUGGAUAAUCUACCUAUAAGACUGGGAUAACUUCGGGAAACCGGAGCUAAUACCGGAUAAUAUAUUGAACCGCAUGGUUGAAUAGUGAAAGACGGCUUUUCUGUCACUUAUAGAUGGAUCCCGGCCGCAUUAGGUAGUUGGUAAGGUAACGGCUUACCAAGGCAACGAUGCGUAGGCGAGCUCAGGGGGUGAUAGGCCGCACUGGAACUGAGACACGCUCCAGGCUCCUACGAGAGGCAGCAGUAGGGAAUCUGCCGCAGUAGGCGGAAGCCUUACAGAACAACGCCGCGUCAGUGAUGGAGGUGUUCCGAUCGUAAUACUCUGUUAUUAGGGAAAAACAGAUGUGUAAGUAACUGUGCACGUCUUGACGGUACCUAAUCAAAAAGCCACGGCUAACUACGUG